CUGACAGAUUUGUUAUCCGCAGUGCAGUCUGGCUCCUCCUGCGGCAGUGGUCACGUGCCUGCGUCUGUCCGAGUCUCCCGCGGCCGAUUAGCACAGCUGGUCUAGGGCACAGAAACACUGGUGGGCCAGAGUGCUAGGGAGUUUUGUUGCUGGGACGCAGGCUAUUAACGGGUAUAAAGGCUUCAAGACUUGAAGUUAGCGUUCCAAAACCUUCGUUUUAAACCUCGGUCCAGUGUUUAUUCCCUGCCAUACACUCGAACAUUCAUGCGUCUCUGUUUAAGUAAAGCUAAGUUUUACCCGGGCGCAGUGGUGCACGCCUGUAAUCCUAGCUGCUUGGGAUUCGGUGGGGCCCUCCCAAAGGAAUGUGGUGAGGACCUUCUCAGGACAAAGGAAGCCAAGGAACACUGUUCCUCUGUGCUGUGCAGGUAACCUGAACUGUACGCAAUCAGGCUGUAGGAUGUUACCCUGUUACUGUAUGAGGGAGACAAAACGUGUAAAGGGUGAAAUCGCAAGGCGCGGGGCUCCGCCUUUUGUGUAUUAGCCCACUAAGCCUGUGCUGGCAGAAAUGAGGUUGCUUCCUAGAAAGAAAAGCCUCAAUGUCCCAACUCCGUGCGAGGCAAAGAUGGUGUUUCACCUUCUGGCGCCAAGGUGCAGACCCGGGGACACUGGGAGAGGCACGCUCACCCAGUGAGGGGAGUGACAUCUGCCAGACAGAUAACCAAUUCGUUUUGGUAGACCUGUCCGUAGGAGACAGAAGAGGACCCUGAUCACCCAAAUAGUUGCAUAUGGUACGAAACUGCAACUUUAAGGUGCUGGGGUCUGGGCAGCGGUUUGGAAUUCACGGUGUGACUGCGUGUGAAUGGGAGAGAGUAGCACGGUUCCAACCUCACCGAAGGACUGAAGGGAAGGUUGAGUCCUGAUCCGAGGUUCCCUGGGGACCUUCUACAGUUUAGGGUGGUGUCAGACUUCCGAAGUCUAAUCCAGGUCGGGGCUUGAUACCGAACCCACCAACACCUACAGGCCCCUGAAAUAUCUCCCAGAGGGCAGAGGCUGGAAACGGAUGAAGCAGAUCUGCAGCCCACCGGUCAGUAGCAGUGUCAGGUGUGCAGCUUCCCUGGGUUCUCUUUACUGCCCUGGUUCCGAGACUGGGCGUUAUUGGAACCGUUCAGGUUUGUAAAACAGGAGCUGCUGCUUGCGAAAAUGGACUGCAAUGCUGUACAGGACUGCAUGGCUCUGCUUCCAGGCACAUGGCAGGAACCAGCAUGGUCAAGUUAGGGUUAGGGCUGGGGGAGUGCGAGAGAACAUGCUGAAAGACCUACUGUCCUCCCCUUUACCUGUCACUUUAUCCAGCAGAGCUGUGGCUGGAACAAACCCCAUGGUGGACACCCAGCUGCAAUCCUCCAGCCUCAGCCUCCCAGAGCGCUGGGAUAACAGGCAUGUGCCACUAUGCCUGGCUGCCUAUAGCAUUUUGUGUGCAAUAAACACUGAUGCACAGGCUAGCAUACUGACUGCAGCUAUCAUCUCAAUACAGGCACAUAGUUAACAGCCACCUAGCAGUCAGGAACUGGACAGUAUCACAGAGCAGCUCAUUCUCCAGCCUCUCAGCUUCCAGAGACAUGGCUUGCACACACCUCAGCCUGCAAUGUGAUCAGUGCUGAUGGCACGGAAAAUAGCAUGCCUGAGUCAGAAAUGUUUACACAGCUGGGUGGGCAGCGCACGCCUGCUGAGGCAGGAGAAUUGCUGCAAGCUCCAGGCCAGCCUGGGCUACAUAAUGAAACCCUGCUCAAAAAAAACAAGAAAAGAAAUGUUUGAGCAUAGAGCAGAGUGCGGGAAAGCAGGGUACAAAAUGCUGGAACUUAAUGCUUUUUUUUUUCUGGGAUUGUGUGGUCCCACAUGCCCACAUGAAGAGUGUGUGGCUGGAGUGGUGGUGCACACCGCUAACCCUGCUGCUCCAAGGCUGAGGCAUGAGGACUGCACCAGCCUGGGCAACACAGUGACUCAGCAAAACCUGUUUAAAAAAAUAACUGUAACAAAGAACUGAGCACACAGCUGCUUACAGGCCCUGGGUCCUACCUCCAGGACUGGAAGAGCAUGUGCUUGUCUCCACAAGAAGCUGCACGCCCGGCCAGAGCAGGGAAAUUAUGACGUACUACAGUACCAAGCUGUGCCCACUCCACUGGUCACGGCCAAGGAGGUAAGGACCUAGCCUAGACUUUUGGUGCUGCAGCAGGCGACUGGCAGUUGGCACAAUCCCAGUGUCUCUCUGAGCAUGACAGUUGCAGCCAAUCCCUAAGGAUGGUAACAGCCAACAUCUGGGCUACUCACUUCCACCAGUUAGGGUGAUGCCCACUUAGUCUACUCCCAGUGUCCUAGUCCCUGUACUUUAUGUACAUGGUCCUUAAGCUGCUGAGUUGCCUGUUACUCAGCAAAUAAUUCCCAAGGAUAAGGAGACAUGGGCCACCUCAAUGGGAAAUGCACCUAGUGCCAUGUCCAUGUCAGAUGCCACCCAACAAACUCCUAAGAGGGUGCUGACUUGGACCAGGUCAAAGUGUACUCCACCAAACCCCAGGAUCCUCAUUUGCCCUCCUGCAGCCUCGCAGUCUUCCUCGGAGGCCUGUAAGGGGGCAGAAGUCAUCUAGUCCAUCACAAGUAAUUGCAAGCCAUGGCUCCGCAGAGCACCACGCAGGCAGAGGCCCCAAGGCAGGGAUGUGCAUCAGCCCAGACCCGGCACCCACUGUAUCCCUGCAUGGUGUGGGGUCCAGAUUUCUACAGAAAUGGUGUGCCUUUUUUUUUUUUUUUUUUUUUUAAAUGAGAGUCCAGCUGGUGUGGAACUUGCUAUCCUCAGUCUCCCCAGCAGCUGAGACCACAGGCAUGGACCACUAUGCCUGGCAGGCUGUCUCAUGACUGAAUGGCUCUAAGUGGAACAUGGAGACACCCAGCAUGAGCCACCGCCCCAGUGAGCUGUGCAGUAUAAAUGCAGAAUCUUCAUGCACAUAAUUCGUUAGUGAGGGAUCGCGUUUGUGCAUUAUUAUUAUCAAGCUGGUUCCCAAAUGGCACCAGAGCACCUGGAAGGGCUCUCAUUCCAGUCACACAGCAGCAGGUGGCGUUGUCUGCCAGAUCCCAGCUCUAACUCCCUCUACCAGAGAGGCCACCUCUGAGAGAGGCCUUUCAUAGAGUCCUGUUAGCAUUCGGAGAGAGCCACCUGUGGGUCACAUGGCCGCACACAGAGACUGCACACAGAUGGGCCUGAGAACACAAAAGUCCCCACUCCUGGCAGAUGCAGAUCUCCCCUAGGGAAAGUAUGCACAAAUGCACAGCUGACCAGAUGUUUACUAGUCACAGGUCGGACAUCAAUAAAUAGGUCUCGGUAGCCCUUCAGCAGAACACCAGGGCUUGCCGAGAAGAUACAGACAAGUGCGGGCGAGAGGCAGUUCGGGCAGCAGCAGUUCUGGA
This is a long non-coding RNA of Cavia porcellus (domestic guinea pig), 3453 nucleotides long. RefSeq lists it as uncharacterized. The transcript has 2 exons. Lineage: Eukaryota; Metazoa; Chordata; Mammalia; Rodentia; Caviidae. The record is from RefSeq and is a predicted model, not a curated record.